GACGAACGCUGGCGGCGUGCCUAAUACAUGCAAGUUGAGCGCUGAAGGUUGGUACUUGUACCAACUGGAUGAGCAGCGAACGGGUGAGUAACGCGUGGGGAAUCUGCCUUUGAGCGGGGGACAACAUUUGGAAACGAAUGCUAAUACCGCAUAAAAACUUUAAACACAAGUUUUAAGUUUGAAAGAUGCAAUUGCAUCACUCAAAGAUGAUCCCGCGUUGUAUUAGCUAGUUGGUGAGGUAAAGGCUCACCAAGGCGAUGAUACAUAGCCGACCUGAGAGGGUGAUCGGCCACAUUGGGACUGAGACUCGGCCCAAACUCCUACGGGAGGCAGCAGUAGGGAAUCUUCGGCAAUGGACGAAAGUCUGACCGAGCAACGCCGCGUGAGUGAAGAAGGUUUUCGGAUCGUAAAACUCUGUUGGUAGAGAAGAACGUUGGUGAGAGUGGAAAGCUCAUCAAGUGACGGUAACUACCCAGAAAGGGACGGCUAACUACGUG
RNAcentral lists this ribosomal RNA (497 nucleotides) under uncultured bacterium. Its description in RNAcentral is "partial 16S ribosomal RNA". It matches the Rfam family "Bacterial small subunit ribosomal RNA", at positions 28 to 507 of the family's 1533-position model. The record is from RNAcentral.